This is a long non-coding RNA of Schistocerca serialis cubense, 517 nucleotides long. RefSeq lists it as uncharacterized. The transcript has 4 exons. The record is from RefSeq and is a predicted model, not a curated record. NCBI's taxonomy places the organism in Eukaryota, Metazoa, Arthropoda, Insecta, Orthoptera, Acrididae.
CGACUCCGUGGCGCUGCAGGCGGCAGACUACCACGCCGCUACGGGGCGAUGGGAUGACCGCAGUAGACUUUGAGAGGUGGGGCAGCACUGGUGGCUGGUCAUAUCAUGGUACUAUGAAGAGGAAAGACAUUAUGACGUUCCUGAUUAAGAACUUCCCAAAUGUCUUCAGAAGUAUCUAUGGUAGCAUGGGCAUCACAGGAAAGCCAAUGCCAGCUGAUACUUACCAAAUGGUGAACUUCAAACCGGAGGGUCUGAAACUUGAAAAACUUCCUCAGCUGCCGUAUGGUCGGUACAGAUUAAUGGCGAAACAAUCCAAAGAUGACAUUGCGUUAGGCUGCCUGCAGUUUAUUGUCAAUGUCCUGGAAGUCGCUUAAUAGGUAACAGGUGACUCGAAGAAAAGGAAGAAAGGCAAGAGACGUAUGAACAUCAUCGGCUGGAGCACAUGGAAACAGGACUAAAUCGUCUCACUGCCUCAGUAAAGAUAAGAGAAAAUAAAUAAAGUGAAACAAGAAAACAA